CCUACGGGGGGCAGCAGUGGGGGAUAUUGCACAAUGGGGGGAACCCUGAUGCAGCGACGCCGCGUGGGUGAAGAAGCGCCUCGGCGCGUAAAGCCCUUUCAGCAGGGAAGAAAAUGACGGUACCUGAAGAAGAAGCCCCGGCUAACUACGUGCCAGCAGCCGCGGUAAUACGUCGGGGGCAAGCGUUAUCCGGAUUUACUGGGUGUUAAGGGGGCGCAGACGGGGAUGCAAGCCAGGGGUGAAAGCCUGGGGACCAACCCCGGGACUGCUGUUGGAACUGCGUGGCUGGAGUGGAGGAGGGGCAGGCGGAAUGCGUGGUGUAGCGGUGAAAUGCGUAGAUAUCGGGAGGAACACCGGUGGCGAAGGCGGCCUGCUGGACUGCAACUGACGUUGAGGCCCGAAAGCGUGGGGAGCAAACAGGAUUAGAUACCCUUGUAGUC
Molecule: ribosomal RNA, 440 nt
Filed under: uncultured bacterium
Lineage: Bacteria
Description: partial 16S ribosomal RNA
Rfam family: Bacterial small subunit ribosomal RNA
Source: RNAcentral